GGCGGGGGGGGGAGGACGGAGCUUACUAACCUAAUAAAUGUCGAGUUCCCCUGCAGUCCGUGGCCUUGGCCGUGUCGGACAUACCGAUAGUGGACUGAAAGACACUGCGUGGCGAGGUUUCGCGCCCUUUAAAUGUCGAGAGAGACGGUACCAUCAUUGAAGAAAGCAUCUUGUAUAUGCUAAGAGGCAAAAACAAAGGAUGCCUUUUUCUAUAUGGACAGUAUCACAGGAACAGUGGAGAGCUGCCACCAGCAGCAAAGAGAUGAGAUAGAAAAAAACACUCAUGAUUGAUAUGAGUAAUGAAGCAUUUUUAACUUCUGCUGCCCUCUUCUUCUGAUCCAUUUGAAGAAUUGUCUUCUUUCUACCUCCCAGAGAAAUAGAAGAAGGGAAACAUCAGUUAAGUCUGCCUUC
Thalassophryne amazonica is the source of this 411-nucleotide long non-coding RNA. RefSeq lists it as uncharacterized. Lineage: Eukaryota; Metazoa; Chordata; Actinopteri; Batrachoidiformes; Batrachoididae. The record is from RefSeq and is a predicted model, not a curated record. The transcript is spliced from 2 exons.